This 407-nucleotide ribosomal RNA is filed under the name uncultured bacterium. RNAcentral describes it as "partial 16S ribosomal RNA". It matches the Rfam family "Bacterial small subunit ribosomal RNA", at positions 360 to 774 of the family's 1533-position model. The record is from RNAcentral.
AAUCUUCCGCAAUGGACGAAAGUCUGACGGAGCAACGCCUCGUGAGUGAUGAAGGUCUUCGGAUCGUACAGCUCUGUCCUUGGGGAAGAAGGUCUUCGGACUUGACGGUACCUAAGGACGAAGCCCCGGCUAACUACGUGCCAGCAGCCGCGGUAAUACGCAGGGGGCAAGCGUUGUCCGGAAUUAUUGUGCGUAAAGGGUGCGUAGGCGGCCUUUUAAGUCAGAUGUGAAAGCCCACGGCUUAACCGUGGGACUGCAUUUGAAACUGGAGGGCUUGAGUAUCGGAGAGGGUAGUGGAAUUCCCAGUGUAGCGGUGGAAUGCGUAGAUAUUGGGAGGAACACCAGUGGCGAAGGCGACUACCUGGACGAAAACUGACGCUGAGGCACGAAAGCUAGGGGAGCAAACA